AGGAUGAACGCUGGCGGCGUGCCUAACACAUGCAAGUCGAACGUCCUGUCUCGCAAGAGGCAGGGAGUGGCGGACGGGUGAGUACCACGUGGGUCAUCUACCGUGAGGUGAGGAAUACCGGCGAGAAAUCGCCGACAAGACCGCAUAGGCUCGAUGCAAGUCGAGCAAAGCUCUUUCGAGAGAGGGAGCGCCACACGAGGAGCCUGCGCCCGAUUAGCUAGCUGGUGGAGUAACGGUUCACCAGGGCGACGAUCGGUAGCUGGUCUGAGAGGACGAUCAGCCACACUGGGAUUGAGAACGGCCCAGACUCCUACGGGGGGCAGCAGUGAGGAAUUUUCGUCAAUGGGGGCAACCCUGAACGAGCAACGCCGCGUGCAGGAGAAGGUUUUCGGAUCGUAAACUGCUUUUCUCGGGGAAGAGAAUGGACGGUACCCGAGGAAUCAGCCCCGGCUAACUACGCGCCAGCAGCCGCGGU
This 475-nucleotide ribosomal RNA is filed under the name uncultured bacterium. RNAcentral's name for it is "SSU rRNA". It matches the Rfam family "Bacterial small subunit ribosomal RNA", at positions 26 to 521 of the family's 1533-position model. The record is from RNAcentral.